AUACGGAGGGUGCAAGCGUUACUCGGAAUCACUGGGCGUAAAGCGCGCGCAGGCGGCUAUUUAAGUUGGAUGUGAAAGCCUAUGGCUCAACCAUAGAACUGCAUCCAAAACUAUUUAGCUAGAGUGUGGGAGAGGAAGAUGGAAUUAGUUGUGUAGGGGUAAAAUCCGUAGAGAUAACUAGGAAUACCAAAAGCGAAGGCAAUCUUCUGGAACACUACUGACGCCGAGGCGCGAAAGCGUGGGGAGCAAACAGGAUUAGAUACCCUAGUAGUCC
Molecule: ribosomal RNA, 274 nt
Filed under: uncultured bacterium
Lineage: Bacteria
Description: partial 16S ribosomal RNA
Rfam family: Bacterial small subunit ribosomal RNA
Source: RNAcentral